RNAcentral lists this transfer RNA (74 nucleotides) under Ovis aries (sheep). It matches the Rfam family "tRNA". Rfam says of the family: Transfer RNA (tRNA) molecules are approximately 80 nucleotides in length. Their secondary structure includes four short double-helical elements and three loops (D, anti-codon, and T loops). Further hydrogen bonds mediate the characteristic L-shaped molecular structure. tRNAs have two regions of fundamental functional importance: the anti-codon, which is responsible for specific mRNA codon recognition, and the 3' end, to which the tRNAs corresponding amino acid is attached (by aminoacyl-tRNA synthetases). tRNAs cope with the degeneracy of the genetic code in two manners: having more than one tRNA (with a specific anti-codon) for a particular amino acid; and 'wobble' base-pairing, i.e. permitting non-standard base-pairing at the 3rd anti-codon position. The record is from Rfam by way of RNAcentral. Lineage: Eukaryota; Metazoa; Chordata; Mammalia; Artiodactyla; Bovidae.
UCCCUGGUGGUCCAGUGGUUAGGACUCCACGCUUUCAAUGCUGAGCUCCUGGGCUCAAUCCCCUGGUCAGGGAA